AACGCGUGGGAAUCUACCCUUUUCUACGGAAUAACGCAUGGAAACGUGUGCUAAUACCGUAUGAGCCCUUCGGGGGAAAGAUAUAUCGGGAAAGGAUGAGCCCGCGUUGGAUUAGCUAGUUGGUGGGGUAAAGGCCUACCAAGGCGACGAUCCAUAGCUGGUCUGAGAGGAUGAUCAGCCACAUUGGGACUGAGACACGGCCCAAACUCCUACGGGAGGCAGCAGUGGGGAAUAUUGGACAAUGGGCGCAAGCCUGAUCCAGCCAUGCCGCGUGAGUGAUGAAGGCCCUAGGGUUGUAAAGCUCUUUCACCGGUGAAGAUAAUGACGGUAACCGGAGAAGAAGCCCCGGCUAACUUCGUGCCAGCAGCCGCGGUAAUACGAAGGGGGCUAGCGUUGUUCGGAAUUACUGGGCGUAAAGCGCACGUAGGCGGACAUUUAAGUCAGGGGUGAAAUCCCAGAGCUCAACUCUGGAACUGCCUUUGAUACUGGGUGUCUAGAGUAUGGAAGAGGUGAGUGGAAUUCCGAGUGUAGAGGUGAAAUUCGUAGAUAUUCGGAGG
RNAcentral lists this ribosomal RNA (557 nucleotides) under uncultured bacterium. RNAcentral's name for it is "bacterial SSU rRNA". It matches the Rfam family "Bacterial small subunit ribosomal RNA", at positions 112 to 704 of the family's 1533-position model. The record is from RNAcentral.